UACAGGGGGUGCAAACGUUGCUCGGAAUUAUUGGGCGUAAAGCGCGCGUAGGCGGCUACUUAAGUCGGAUGUGAAAGCCCUUGGCUCAACUGAGGAAGUGCACCCGAAACUGAGUAGCUGGAGUACGAAAGAGGGUCGCGGAAUUCCCGGUGUAGAGGUGAAAUUCGUAGAUAUCGGGAGGAACACCGGUGGCGAAGGCGACUUCCUGGCCUGUUCUUGACGCUGAGGCGCGAAAGCUAGGGUAGCAAACGGG
RNAcentral lists this ribosomal RNA (253 nucleotides) under uncultured bacterium. Its description in RNAcentral is "partial 16S ribosomal RNA". It matches the Rfam family "Bacterial small subunit ribosomal RNA", at positions 524 to 776 of the family's 1533-position model. The record is from RNAcentral.